This 294-nucleotide ribosomal RNA is filed under the name uncultured bacterium. RNAcentral's name for it is "partial 16S ribosomal RNA". It matches the Rfam family "Bacterial small subunit ribosomal RNA", at positions 29 to 334 of the family's 1533-position model. The record is from RNAcentral.
AAUGAACGCUGGCGGUAUGCUUAACACAUGCAAGUCGAACGAACAAAGCUGGAGCUUGCUUCAGCUGCGUAAGUGGCAAACGGGUGAGUAACACGUGGGAAUCUACCCAUCAGUACGGAAUAACAUUUGGAAACAGGUGCUAAUACCGUAUAUCCUCUAAGGAGGAAAGAUUUAUCGCUGAUGGAUGAGCCCGCGCAAGAUUAGGUAGUUGGUAGGGUAAUGGCCUACCAAGCCGACGAUCUUUAGCAGGUCUGAGAGGAUGAUCUGCCACACUGGGACUGAGACACGGCCCAG